Molecule: transfer RNA, 63 nt
Filed under: Rattus norvegicus (Norway rat)
Lineage: Eukaryota; Metazoa; Chordata; Mammalia; Rodentia; Muridae
Rfam family: tRNA
About the family: Transfer RNA (tRNA) molecules are approximately 80 nucleotides in length. Their secondary structure includes four short double-helical elements and three loops (D, anti-codon, and T loops).
Source: Rfam by way of RNAcentral
GGGGAUUUAGCUCAGUGGUAGAGCGCUUGCCUAGCAAGCACUAGGCCCUGGGUUCAGUCUCCA